Long non-coding RNA from Cydia fagiglandana, 427 nucleotides. RefSeq lists it as uncharacterized. The transcript has 2 exons. Lineage: Eukaryota; Metazoa; Arthropoda; Insecta; Lepidoptera; Tortricidae. The record is from RefSeq and is a predicted model, not a curated record.
AACAACAUUAUAAAAUAUUUCUUACAUAAGCAACUUAUACAUUACUUACAUUACGAUUAUAAUUGUACACAACAUUAUCAUGGAAUAAUAAUUAUUAAGCUAAAUACCAAUUUUGACUAAAAAAUCUUCUGUUAUUAAGGAUAAUAAAAGAAUAUAGUACAAUAAAUAGUUAUAGCACGAUAAGAUAAUAAGUAUUUACUUACAAUUUUGGGACAACAAAACAUUUUUGAACUUAGGUAAAGACAUGUUCAAAAUAUCUAAAUCAAUAUCCAAGUUAUUAUAUAAACGACACAUUCUAAAGAUAGGCGCAUUAUUGGAUACAUUGUUAUUAGGAACCAUAGGCAAGGCAAACAAUUCUCGAUUCCGCGUUCUCUUAUUGUAGGCUCUAAUGGAGACAUAAUCCAUGAGGUUACUGUCGAGACCACCA